UGCUGUGAUGAUUAGAUGAAAUAAUCUCGUUAAUCUGAUUUAUUAUGAGGAUAAUUUUUCAUAUCCAUUCAUUAUUUUCUGAGC
Cicer arietinum (chickpea) is the source of this 84-nucleotide non-coding RNA. NCBI's taxonomy places the organism in Eukaryota, Viridiplantae, Streptophyta, Magnoliopsida, Fabales, Fabaceae. The record is from Rfam.